AGCUGUUGGUGAUUUUGAGUUGAGGCAGAAAGGACUCUGUGAAACGUUUGGAUUAUGGAAUUUGCGUUUUGAGGAUAUGGGCGCAGAAGUCACGAGAAGUUUAUUUA
Arachis ipaensis is the source of this 107-nucleotide non-coding RNA. The record is from RefSeq and is a predicted model, not a curated record. NCBI's taxonomy places the organism in Eukaryota, Viridiplantae, Streptophyta, Magnoliopsida, Fabales, Fabaceae.